UACGUAGGGUGCAAGCGUUGUCCGGAAUUACUGGGCGUAAAGAGCUCGUAGGCGGUUUGUCACGUCGGAUGUGAAAGCCCGAGGCUCAACCUCGGGUCUGCAUUCGAUACGGGCAGACUAGAGUUCGGUAGGGGAGACUGGAAUUCCUGGUGUAGCGGUGAAAUGCGCAGAUAUCAGGAGGAACACCGGUGGCGAAGGCGGGUCUCUGGGCCGAUACUGACGCUGAGGAGCGAAAGCGUGGGGAG
This 245-nucleotide ribosomal RNA is filed under the name uncultured bacterium. RNAcentral describes it as "partial 16S ribosomal RNA". It matches the Rfam family "Bacterial small subunit ribosomal RNA", at positions 524 to 768 of the family's 1533-position model. The record is from RNAcentral.